UACAGAGGGGGCAAGCGUUGCUCGGAAUUACUGGGCGUAAAGGGCGCGUAGGCGGGAUGGCAAGUCGGUCGUGAAAUCCUUCGGCUCAACCGAAGCACGUCGAUCGAUACUGCUGUUCUUGAGGGUUGCAGAGGAGACUGGAAUUCCCGGUGGAGCGGUGAAAUGUGUAGAGAUCGGGAGGAACACCGGUGGCGAAGGCGGGUCUCUGGGCAAUUCCUGACGCUGAGGCACGAAGGCCAGGGGAGCAAACGGG
RNAcentral lists this ribosomal RNA (253 nucleotides) under uncultured bacterium. RNAcentral describes it as "partial 16S ribosomal RNA". It matches the Rfam family "Bacterial small subunit ribosomal RNA", at positions 524 to 776 of the family's 1533-position model. The record is from RNAcentral.